This 382-nucleotide RNase P RNA is filed under the name Alphaproteobacteria bacterium. Its description in RNAcentral is "RNase P RNA component class A". It matches the Rfam family "Bacterial RNase P class A". Rfam says of the family: Ribonuclease P (RNase P) is a ubiquitous endoribonuclease, found in archaea, bacteria and eukarya as well as chloroplasts and mitochondria. Lineage: Bacteria; Pseudomonadati; Pseudomonadota; Alphaproteobacteria. The record is from RNAcentral.
UCAGAUGGCUGGAUGGCUGCUGCUCUUUUUUCGUAAAAGAGGAGAGGAAAGUCCGGGCUCCACAGGAUCAGGAUGCCGGGUAACGCCCGGCGGGGGCAACCCCAGGGAAAGUGCCGCAGAAAACAAACCGCCCCGCAUGCGGGGUAAGGGUGAAAAGGUGCGGUAAGAGCGCACCGCCGAUCUGGUAACAGAGCGGGCAUGGUAAACCCCAUCCGGAGCAAGACCAUGUAGGGACAAAGGCCAUGCAAAUGGCAGAUGCGAUCCUGCAUCUUUGUCCGGGUAGGUUGCUAAAGAUGUCUGGUAACAGGCAUCGUAGAUGAAUAGUCGUCACCAUCAGCGAAGGCAGAUGGUACAGAACCCGGCUUAUAGGCCAUCUGACAGC